GCGGGCGUGAUGGAACGGUAGACAUACGGGACUUAAAAUCCCGGGGCCGUAGGCCGUGUGGGUUCAAGUCCCACCGCCCGCACCA
RNAcentral lists this transfer RNA (85 nucleotides) under Alphaproteobacteria bacterium. RNAcentral's name for it is "tRNA-Leu". It matches the Rfam family "tRNA". From Rfam's summary of the family: Transfer RNA (tRNA) molecules are approximately 80 nucleotides in length. Their secondary structure includes four short double-helical elements and three loops (D, anti-codon, and T loops). The record is from RNAcentral. Lineage: Bacteria; Pseudomonadati; Pseudomonadota; Alphaproteobacteria.